RNAcentral lists this long non-coding RNA (1424 nucleotides) under Homo sapiens (human). RNAcentral describes it as "non-protein coding lnc-CNOT6-6:1". Lineage: Eukaryota; Metazoa; Chordata; Mammalia; Primates; Hominidae. The record is from RNAcentral.
AAAAAAAAAUCUUUUACACAUAUUAUAAAGAUAAUUUUAACAUAAUGAGUGGUUAUAUGUUAGAAGAAACUUGUAGAAGAUAGUUUUCUACUAGAAUUUUAGGAUAAUUUGAGAAAUGUUUUUGUAAGUAAAUUUCCCCUGAAUAAUAUUUUAAAUAGAUUGUUACAUAAAUGAAUCUAACCAGCUAGUCUAUAGCUAGGGGUUGGGAGGACUGCUGGAUUGCAAAGUAGUUUGAAAACGAGUUUCUACAGUUUUAGCACAUUUAACAUUUUUAAUCAAAUGAACAAGGAAAUGUCAGUUUUCUCAUUUUCUUUGAAUCACAAACUUCAGAUCACUCUAAUCUACCGAAAAGCUAUUAAAUGAGUUUGGUCUGUUACAAGAAAUUUUGCUUGCUCUAUCAAGUGCGACCUGAGGCAGGCUUCAAGAGCUUUAAUUGCCGGAUACGUUCCAGCUUACCAGCAAAGGGAAUCUAAGCUGCUGGGCUUACAGAGUUACCCACUAGUAAGUUGCCUAAGCUUACUUAAAAUUGAGAGAUUUACAAUUGUCAGACUCUGUGCUUAGUUUGGAAAUAAAGAUUUAUAGGCAUAAUCCUUGACUUCCAAGUUGUUCGUUGACCUUAUAUCUAGUGCAUUGGAUGCUGAAGAUGUAAUAGGUGUGGAGGAAGAAACUUGGGCUACUGGGAAGGUUGCUGUAGCAGCACUGUGCAGGAUGCAUGAAAAGGGGAGAUGAAUACUUGGUGUCAGACUAGUCAGCUGGUUUCUGGUGUGGUCCAGUUGACAGCUAAGCUGAGGAGGGCUUGCAGAGCAGUAAGCCUAGAAAGGAAAGGGAAUUUUGAAAUGUUUAGGAAAGGGAAGUAAUAAUCUCAAUUCCUGCCUCGUGUGGAUGAAAAGACAGAUAAAUGAGUUUUGUCCAGUCAGUGCUUUCAUUAUGUAAACCCUGAUUCAAAAUCUUAUGUCUGCCACCAAGGCCCCCAUUUUUCCUUCACCCAUCUGACAAAAGUAUUUAGUUGAAGAAUCUUGUUUCUCAAGCUGGAUUUUACUUCAUUCCCCAUUAUCAUUUAUUCAGAUUUUAGUCUGCAGGAGAAAUCCAUUGUGCCCCUACUAAACAGCCAUUAGUUCCAGAAAAUGAUAAAAGGUAGCAUUUGAUGCUAAAUUAAUUCUUUUAGCCUGUUUCCCUUUGGCUUUUUCUAUUACUGAAAAUAGUUUAAAUGUAAAAAGACUGCCUUUCUGAGGUUGCUGGUAAGACCAAGCAUUGGGAGGUAUUUAAGUAGAGCAACAUACAAGCAGCGAAGGGAGGGAUCCAAGAAUUCUCAGCUCUGCGAAGCUCCCCUCAUGCAAAGGACUCGCGCUGUGUGUUGUUCAGUGUGGUGGCCUCUAGCCAUGUGUGGCUUUUGAGCAUUUGAAAUACGGCUGUUGUGACUGGUA